This 97-nucleotide non-coding RNA is filed under the name Kutzneria sp. 744. Its description in RNAcentral is "Glycine riboswitch aptamer". It matches the Rfam family "Glycine riboswitch aptamer". From Rfam's summary of the family: This family represents the bacterial glycine riboswitch. Glycine riboswitches usually consist of two metabolite-binding aptamers domains with similar structures in tandem. Lineage: Bacteria; Bacillati; Actinomycetota; Actinomycetes; Pseudonocardiales; Pseudonocardiaceae. The record is from Rfam by way of RNAcentral. RNAcentral also lists the same sequence under 1 other name.
ACAGCCCGGUCGGGAGAGUCCUCGAUGCGUGUCGUCGGGGCGCCGAAGGAGCAAGCCUCCCCGCACACUCUCAGGCAUCCCAGACCGGCCGGGCGAG